Molecule: long non-coding RNA, 244 nt
Filed under: Rattus norvegicus (Norway rat)
Lineage: Eukaryota; Metazoa; Chordata; Mammalia; Rodentia; Muridae
Description: long non-coding RNA NONRATT026971
Source: RNAcentral
GGGAGAGCUGUCCAGAUUGGUGUUAAAAAGUUUAUGAUCACAGGUGGAAGUCUACAAGACAGUAAAGAUGCACUGCGGUUGGCACAAACAAAUGGGCUGUCUACCGCUUCCUGUGGAAGGCUCUCUACCCUCCUGGGCUCAGUUGCAAGUCCCUGUUGAACUUCAGUAGCCAAGCACUCUGACACUGACCCAUUCUCCCAGCGCUCUGCUGUGUGUUCCUGGCUAUUAAAAUACUGAAGUCUGA